AGUGAACGCUGGCGGUAGGCCUAACACAUGCAAGUCGAACGGCAGCACAGUAAGAGCUUGCUCUUACGGGUGGCGAGUGGCGGACGGGUGAGGAAUGCAUCGGAAUCUACUUUUUCGUGGGGGAUAACGUAGGGAAACUUACGCUAAUACCGCAUACGACCUACGGGUGAAAGCAGGGGAUCUUCGGACCUUGCGCGAUUGAAUGAGCCGAUGUCGGAUUAGCUAGUUGGCGGGGUAAAGGCCCACCAAGGCGACGAUCCGUAGCUGGUCUGAGAGGAUGAUCAGCCACACUGGAACUGAGACACGGUCCAGACUCCUACGGGGGGCAGCAGUGGGGAAUAUUGGACAAUGGGCGCAAGCCUGAUCCAGCCAUACCGCGUGGGUGAAGAAGGCCUUCGGGUUGUAAAGCCCUUUUGUUGGGAAAGAAAAGCAGCAGGUUAAUACCCCGCUGUUCUGACGGUACCCAAAGAAUAAGCACCGGCUAACUUCGUG
This 492-nucleotide ribosomal RNA is filed under the name uncultured bacterium. RNAcentral's name for it is "partial 16S ribosomal RNA". It matches the Rfam family "Bacterial small subunit ribosomal RNA", at positions 29 to 507 of the family's 1533-position model. The record is from RNAcentral.